Molecule: long non-coding RNA, 901 nt
Organism: Papaver somniferum (opium poppy)
Lineage: Eukaryota; Viridiplantae; Streptophyta; Magnoliopsida; Ranunculales; Papaveraceae
Exons: 2
Source: RefSeq, a predicted model, not a curated record
UAUUUAGCCUUCCUCAUUCACUUUCUCACUUCUUCACUUCUUAUAACAGAAGAAAAAAAAUCUCAUCGCCCCCACCACCGUCGUCUCCAGCACCCCCACCACCACCACAAUUUCUAUCGCCGCACCACAACAAACACCACCACCUUCGUUCGUCACGUCCGCUACUAAUAUCAGCAGAUCUAUCAUUUUUUGUGUUUGAUUUCAACUGAUUUCUAAACCAGAUUCAUGAAUUGAUAUAUUUAUUUGGGUUUCGAUUUCGAGUUGCCGAUUCAAAUCUGUUCUUUUUUCUAAACCAGAUUCGAGUUUCAGUUUCAGAUUUCAAAGAGUUAGAUUUAGUAUGUAUGAUUUUCAAUUUUGAUUAUAGAGUUUUCUGAAAAUUUGAUUUUUGUUGAUUCACAUAAUUUCUUUUCUUUAUUUCGAUUUAAUUGAUUUCGAGAUUGUUGAUUCAGAAAUUAAUUUUGUUGAAUCUCACUCAAAUUCAUAUCAAAUUUUAUAUAGGUUUUGAUUUCGGUGCGUUUUAUUAAAAGUUGUAUGAUUUUUGUUGAGUCUGUGCAACUUCUUGUUCCCUGAUCUGCAAUCAUGGGUAUGGUAGUGGGAUCUUUAGCUUGUGCUGGAAAAGUUAAGAGGAAAACUCCUAGAGGAAACGGUAGAGCUCACAAGAGAAUGCAAUACAACAGACAUUUCAGUAUUACUGGUAACAUAUCAUCUACUAUGUAUCAUUUAAUUCUAAGUUUCUUUUGGUGAAAAUCAUAUCAGGGAGCAUUUGUAUGGGUGUAUAUUGCUUGUUCCAAGCGAUAACGUGCGUUUUUGGAUUGAGUUUUUUUUUUUUUUUUUUUGUAUUUGAGUGUUGUAGAUUGGUUGAAUGGUAUAUUUUGUUAUAAAAACUGCUUUAGUGUGGAAA